RNAcentral lists this transfer RNA (73 nucleotides) under Streptomyces sp. NBRC 13847. RNAcentral's name for it is "tRNA-Gly". The record is from RNAcentral. Lineage: Bacteria; Bacillati; Actinomycetota; Actinomycetes; Kitasatosporales; Streptomycetaceae.
GGUGUGCGUGGCCGGGACCAGGCCCGCGGUCUCCCGGGCCGCGCAGACCGGAUCGUCGGUCGGCGCGCAGCUC